CAUGUGUGUUUGGCUUCUCAUUUACCAAGCUCUCAGGGGACCAUGGCAACCACAACCUAAACAAAGAACCACAGGUGGAUAGACAGAGCCGCCUGCACCCCACAGCAGAACCCCUCCUUCCAGCUGGCUAUUAGGAAAUCUGAAAGAGCUGCCUCUUCCAGCCCAACCCUGAUCACACCUCCACCAGGAUGGAUCUUGCCAGAAGCAGUUGGCUCAAAUGUUGUCUUCUGGCCUGCCCCAUCCCCCAUCUUUUACCCGUCAAGACCCCAGGCUCCACUGGCAGAGGGGUGGCACAGUGGUGGGGUGGAGCAGCAGAGGAGAGAAGAGAAGCAGCAGCCAGCUUACCAGAGAGACCCCCCACCCAGGCGGCGCUGAGGCAUUAAGAAGCAGAGAUCCAGAUAGAACAGCAAAGUGGGACUAUCCAGGUUGUGGGGGAUGGCCAGCAGCCUUCCGAGCUGAGAGCCUCCGAGGCUGACAGCAUUCUGGGGUGAGGGCCUUGAGCAGAUGCUGACCCACGGAUUUAGUCUCUCUGAACAGGUGUUAGAGAGAAGCAGUUUGACUUCAGGGAGAUGGCUUGACCCUGAGACUUCGGAGAAGAGUUCCACCAGGGACAGACAGACUCCAGGGAAAGAUCACCUUCCCACUCCGUCCCCGUUCCAGCUCUCCAUCCUGCUGAGAGCCACUUAACACUGCUCAAUAUAAUCCUCCAGAUUCACCGCUCUUCAAUUUAUUCGUGUGACCUGAAUCUUCCUGGAUGCUGGACAAGAACUUGGGUACCAAGAGGCAGGUGCAAAAGGCUGUAUAUCAUCCAUGGAGAAAUGCCUAGUCAAACUUGAAAAAAAAAGUCUAUCUACUGGGCCUGGCAUGGUGGCUCAUGUCUGUAAUCCCAGCACUUUGGGAGGCAGAGGUGGGUGGAUCACUUGAGGUCAGGAGCUCAAGACCAGCCUGACCAACAUGGUGAAACCCUGUCUCUAUUAAAAAUGCAAAAAUUAGAAUUCAGCUCCUGCCCCUCACCAAGCACCCAUGGUGGCAAUGUACCCACUUGAUAACUGAUCACUGGUGUCACUUCCACCUCCCUCCUUCCAUGAGUUCGAACCUCCAGUUAACACAGUUGGGUCAGCCCAGAGUUCUCAGUGUCCCCAGAGCCUGCAGUGCCUGGUGCUGGGCAGAUACUCAAUAAACAUCCAAAAGCAGGCUAGGCCCAGUGGCUCACACCUGUGACCUCAGCACUUUGAGAGGCUGACGCAGGGAGGAUGGCUUGAGCCCAGGAGUUCAAGAUCAGCCUGGGCAACAUAGCAAGACCUCUGUCUCUGCUUUUAAAAAGUUAAAUUAACAUCAAUGAAUGACUGUAAUCCCAGCACUUUGGGAGGCCGAGGCGGGUGGAUCACGAGGUUAAGAGAUCGAGACCAUCUGGUCAACAUGGUGAAACCCCGUCUGUACUAAAAAUACAAAAAAUUAGCUGGGCAUGGUGGUGCAUGCCUGUAAUCCCAGCUACUCAGGAGGCUGAGGCAGGAGAAUUGCUUGAACCCAGGAGGCGGCGGUUGCGGUGAGCCGAGAUUGCGCCAUUGCACUCCUGCCUGGGUAACAAGAGCGAUACUCCGCCUCAAAAAAAAAAAAAAAUCAAUACAUGAAUGAAGAAACAAACUUUGGGCAACCCACUGCCCCUCUUUGGGUGACUUGUUUUUUUUCAGUUUUGUAAAGAAGUGACAGUGUUAAGAAUUAGAAAUGAGGGCUGGGCAUGGUGGCUCACAACUGUAAUCCCAGCACUUUGGGAGGCUGAGGCAGGCAGAUAACUUGAGGUGAGGAGUUUGAGACCAGCCUGGCCAACAUGGUGAAACUCCAUCUCUACUAAAAAUACAAAAAUCAGCCAGAUGUAGUGGUGCAUGUCUGUAGUCGCAGCUAUUCAGGAGGCUGCAGCAGGAGGGAGAAUCACUUGAACCCAGGAGGUGGAGGUUGCAGUGAGCUGAGAUCACGCCACUGCACUCCAGCCUGGGCAACAGACACUCUGUCUCAAAAAAAAAAAAAAAAAAGAAGAAGAAUUAGAAAUGGGGUUGCUGAGGACAUGUGCCCCUGCUGAGCUCCCAGUGUGCCCUCCUGUCCUGGCUUGGUAGGAGAUUCUGCUUUCACCUCUGCAGGCGACUCCUGUGCUCACUGCAAUUCUGUCACUGGUGCCUGCACCUGACCCCAUUUCUGUUUGCCACCCCCCAGGCAGCCCGUAUUUGUGAUCACAGCCCUGUGAUCAGAGCCUUGGAAACCCUUGUACAGGGGGCAGAGCAAUCCUUGCUACCUGCAAGGAAACCAGACAAGGCUGUGCUGAUGGCAGAAAAUUGACUGUGGGUAGUUACAUGGACAAGAAUCAGAGUUCAAGUCUAGGAACCCCUGGUUUUUAGGCGGAGGACGUCAAGGCUGAAGUGAGGCAUUAUAAUCCCCCAUCAUGACAAGGUGGGCCUUGUGACAUUUAGAACAGGGUCCUCCCAACUCCAGUCAGUCACAGCCUGCCUUGGAAGCCCAGGUGCCUCUGGCCCUCCAGAUGUCACUGCAUCUGGGGAAGCUGCAGACGGGGUGGCCAUGCAGUGCAACAGGGUCGGGGGAUGCCUGUCACAUCUCGGAUGCAGAGGCAGCCCCUGGAGAUGGGGAUGUUCUGUGACUCUUGCCCGACAGCCCAGGCCAUCUCCAUGGAGCCAGCACAGCCAUUUUUUUUCUUGCCAAUCUGCUCAAACACCCAGUUGGCGCAGGGAUGCCUCAUGGCACUGGCUUUAGGAAUUGAAUUUAAGUGGUUUGCUGUUUCUAGCAGCAAAGCACCUGUCCAGACUAUGUAUACACAUCCAUGAAUGGUGCAGCUGCCAGAAGAAUCAAAGCUAAAUGUUGGCGGGAUCACAGCAGGUGUGGAGGGGAGGGCACUGGGAAUUCCCUGGAGACUCAGUCGUUACCCACUCAACUGAAAGGCUGAGCGUGGCUUUUCCUCUGAUGGUUACCUCUGCCUGACCCCACCUCUCCAUUUCCAAUUUUCUUUCAUUUAUUUGUUUGUUUAUUUUGAGACGGAAUCUGGCUCUGUCGCCAGGCUGGAAUGCAGUGGCAACCUCACCGCAACCUCUGUCUCCUGGGUUCAAGCAAUUCUCUCGCUUCAGCCUCCUGAGUAGCUGGGAUUACAGGUGUACACCACCAUGCCUGGCUAAUGUUUGUAUUUUUAGUAGAGACAGGGUUUUGCCAUGUUGGUCAGGCUGGUCUCGAACUCCUGACCUCAGAUGAUCUGCCCACCUCGGCCUCCCACAGUGCUGGGAUUAUAGGUGUGAAUCGCUGCACCCAGCCCAUUUCCAAUUUUCCAUCCAGUGGUGGCAGAACAAACUUGGAUGGGCCCCAAUGCUCUGCUGAAACCAGGACCCUCAUCCUUGCCCCAUCUCAUUACCCAGCUGCCUCCAGCUGGGCCUGCCCACCCCUGCUGACCUCCUACGUGCAGAGAACGGGGCUUCUCUGCUUUUCAGGCCUGAAGCAGUGAUGCCCACAGAGCCUGGGAGCCACGCACACCCCCUGAAGCUGGAACUCCAGGCAUGGGCGAGUCCUGGGUGGCUGGACCUUGUUGGGAUGGAUGGAAGGGCAGCUUCUGCAGGCAGGACCCAUCUUCAGUGGACUGGGUCAUCUUCAGUGUCUCAUUCUCAUCCCCAUUCUCUGAGAACAGGAAAAGAGGUUCCUGUCUGAAUCUUCAGCAUGGUCAAUGCCCUGGUGGCCCCUUACAGCUUGGUCUCUGUGGCAGGUGGGCCCACGAUGAGCUGAGAUGGUGACGUGGGACAGGUGACUCUUUGCAGCCACCUUCAGCACCACCCUGCCUGGGACGGCAGGGAUCGGGGGUGGGUGCAAAGGGGUUGGAAAACACAGGCUGAGGUGGCUAGGGUCUUCACUGUGUUGGGGAGGGUCUCGCCGCCUUGAGACUCUGCAAUGUCUCCUCAGAGGCCUUGUCGGGAAGCAGCACUUCCACAGUAUAGCUGAGCUUCUUGGUGUGCAUCCGGCUGUAGGUGUUGUCAAAGCGCAGGACAUCUGCAGUGACAGAGAGGAGAUCAGGGAGCACGAACCCCGCGCAUUUGCAGGAACAGCGAGCCCUGCACGGCUGCAUCCCUGGAACCCUUGGGAGCGAGCUGUCCAGGAUGGUAGGCGGAGCCUGAGGGCCAGCCUGUGUCCCUCCCUAAGCCUGUUGCUCACUGCCAUCCCAUGGUGGCUUGCGCUACAUAAAGGACUCAUGACAGUUACCAGCACACAGAACAGCACACAGCCAGGAAGCCUGCAGCCUGGGAACAGGAUCUUGGGCUCCACCUGCAGAGAGGAGCUGCAGCCCACGGACUGGAAAACCCCAAAGCCGAUGUCCCCACCAUCCGAUGCGAACUGCCACCUGCAGUGGACAGAGCCCCACUGGCGACCCCCUGCCUGGGCUCUGGCACCUUCCCAGCUGUGCCCAGGUGUGGGGUGGCUGUCAUCCCUACCUGAGCACACAGCCUGGGAACAGAAUCUCGUUCUCCACCUGCAAGGAGGAGCCUCGACCCACGGACUCCGUGUGCUCGUACUGCAGCCUUACCUGGUUGCACAGGCAGAUGAACAUAACCAGACGCCAAGUCACUCACCUCCCAGAAUUACAAUCUUCCUGCGUGUUUCCUCACUCAUGAACGACUUGACCAAGUUGAAGGCCACGGGGAACAGUUUGGGGGCUGAAACACGUGAAAAUCUCUUGAGAAGCUGGACCAGAGAGGAUGUGGGGAUACAGAGCCACAGUCAAGAGCAGGUGCUGGACCGGAGUUGGACAGAUAUGGAUUCUGCCACUCUCUGCGGUGUGACCUUCAGCCAGUUACCCACCCUCUCUAAGUCUCAGUGUAGUUAACUGGAAGAUGAAGGUGAAAUAAUGGUAUAUAUAACACCUGGCACAGUUCCUGGCUUCAAUAAAGGUUGUCUCAGGCCGGGCGCGGUGGCUCAUCCCUGUAAUCCUAGCACUUUGGGAGGCUGAGGCAGGCAGAUCACUGGAGGCCAGGAGUUUCAAGACCAGCCUGGCCAACAUGGUGAAACCGCGUCUCUACGAAAAAUACAAAAAUUAGCUGGCAUAGUGGUGGGCUUACCUCGAAUGACAAUUAAAUUCUUCAGAGUCUCAGGAUAAUUU
Non-coding RNA from Callithrix jacchus (white-tufted-ear marmoset), 5137 nucleotides. NCBI's taxonomy places the organism in Eukaryota, Metazoa, Chordata, Mammalia, Primates, Cebidae. The record is from RefSeq and is a predicted model, not a curated record.